Molecule: ribosomal RNA, 254 nt
Filed under: uncultured bacterium
Lineage: Bacteria
Description: partial 16S ribosomal RNA
Rfam family: Bacterial small subunit ribosomal RNA
Source: RNAcentral
UACGGAGGGAGCUAGCGUUGUUCGGAAUUACUGGGCGUAAAGCGCGCGUAGGCGGUUUUUUAAGUCAGAGGUGAAAGCCCAGUGCUCAACACUGGAACUGCCUUUGAAACUGGAAAACUUGAAUCUUGGAGAGGUCAGUGGAAUUCCGAGUGUAGAGGUGAAAUUCGUAGAUAUUCGGAAGAACACCAGUGGCGAAGGCGACUGACUGGACAAGUAUUGACGCUGAGGUGCGAAAGCGUGGGGGAGCAAACAGG